RNAcentral lists this ribosomal RNA (813 nucleotides) under uncultured bacterium. RNAcentral's name for it is "bacterial SSU rRNA". It matches the Rfam family "Bacterial small subunit ribosomal RNA", at positions 59 to 916 of the family's 1533-position model. The record is from RNAcentral.
CAGUCGACGGGAUCUUCGGAUUCUAGUGGCGGACGGGUGAGUAACGCGUAAGAAUCUAACUUCAGGACGGGGACAACAGUUGGAAACGACUGCUAAUACCCGAUAUGCCGCGAGGUGAAACCUAAUUGGCCUGAAGAAGAGCUUGCGUCUGAUUAGCUAGUUGGUGGGGUAAGAGCCUACCAAGGCGACGAUCAGUAGCUGGUCUGAGAGGAUGAGCAGCCACACUGGGACUGAGACACGGCCCAGACUCCUACGGGAGGCAGCAGUGGGGAAUUUUCCGCAAUGGGCGAAAGCCUGACGGAGCAACGCCGCGUGAGGGAGGAAGGUCUUUGGAUUGUAAACCUCUUUUCUCAAGGAAGAAGUUCUGACGGUACUUGAGGAAUCAGCCUCGGCUAACUCCGUGCCAGCAGCCGCGGUAAUACGGGGGAGGCAAGCGUUAUCCGGAAUUAUUGGGCGUAAAGCGUCCGCAGGUGGUCAGCCAAGUCUGCUGUCAAAUCAGGUUGCUUAACGACCUAAAGGCGGUGGAAACUGGCAGACUAGAGAGCAGUAGGGGUAGCAGGAAUUCCCAGUGUAGCGGUGAAAUGCGUAGAGAUUGGGAAGAACAUCGGUGGCGAAAGCGUGCUACUGGGCUGUAUCUGACACUCAGGGACGAAAGCUAGGGGAGCGAAAGGGAUUAGAUACCCCUGUAGUCCUAGCCGUAAACGAUGGAUACUAGGCGUGGCUUGUAUCGACCCGAGCCGUGCCGAAGCUAACGCGUUAAGUAUCCCGCCUGGGGAGUACGCACGCAAGUGUGAAACUCAAAGGAAUUGACGG